This 439-nucleotide ribosomal RNA is filed under the name uncultured bacterium. RNAcentral's name for it is "partial 16S ribosomal RNA". It matches the Rfam family "Bacterial small subunit ribosomal RNA", at positions 339 to 795 of the family's 1533-position model. The record is from RNAcentral.
CUACGGGAUGCAGCAGUGGGGAAUAUUGCACAAUGGGGGAAACCCUGAUGCAGCAACGCCGCGUGGAGGAUGAAGCAUUUCGGUGUGCAAACUCCUUUUAUAUAGGAAGAUAAUGACGGUACUAUAUGAAUAAGCACCGGCUAACUCCGUGCCAGCAGCCGCGGUAAUACGGAGGGUGCAAGCGUUACUCGGAAUCACUGGGCGUAAAGCGCGCGCAGGCGGCCUUUGAAGUUGGAUGUGAAAGCCUAUGGCUUAACCAUAGAACUGCAUCCAAAACUAUCAGGCUAGAGUCUGGGAGGGGAAGAUGGAAUUAGUUGUGUAGGGGUAAAAUCCGUAGAGAUAACUAGGAUUACCAAAAGCGAAGGCGACCUUCUGGAACAGUACUGACGCUGAGGCGCGAAAGCGUGGGGAGCAAACAGGAUUAGAUACCCUCGUAGUC